This 218-nucleotide ribosomal RNA is filed under the name Pintoa nearctica. Its description in RNAcentral is "partial 18S ribosomal RNA". The stretch from base 117 to 218 matches the Rfam family "Eukaryotic small subunit ribosomal RNA", at positions 738 to 839 of the family's 1831-position model. Lineage: Eukaryota; Metazoa; Arthropoda; Insecta; Hymenoptera; Trichogrammatidae. The record is from RNAcentral.
UUCAUCGCUCGCGAUGUUUAACUGACAUGAUUGUGGGACGUCCUACCGGUGGGCUUAGCUCCUCACGGGGCGGUCCAGCUAAUAUCCCAUCGCGGUGCUCUUCAUCGAGUGUCGAGGUGGGCCGGUACGUUUACUUUGAACAAAUUAGAGUGCUCAAAGCAGGCUAUGUUCGCCUGAAUACAUGUGCAUGGAAUAAUGGAAUAGGACCUCGGUUCUAU